UGGGGAAUAUUGCACAAUGGGGGAAACCCUGAUGCAGCGACGCCGCGUGAGCGAAGAAGGUUUUCGAAUCGUAAAGCUCUGUCCUAUGAGAAGAUAAUGACGGUAUCAUAGGAGGAAGCCCCGGCUAAAUACGUGCCAGCAGCCGCGGUAAUACGUAUGGGGCGAGCGUUGUCCGGAAUUAUUGGGCGUAAAGGGUACGUAGGCGGUCUAUUAAGUCAGGUGUGAAAGCGUGAGGCUUAACCUCAUUAAGCACUUGAAACUGAUAGACUUGAGUGAAGGAGAGGAAAGGGGAAUUCCUAGUGUAGCGGUGAAAUGCGUAGAUAUUAGGAGGAAUACCGGUGGCGAAGGCGACUUUCUGGACUUUUACUGACGCUCAGGUACGAAAGCGUGGGGAGCAAACAGG
Molecule: ribosomal RNA, 403 nt
Filed under: Verrucomicrobiota bacterium
Lineage: Bacteria; Pseudomonadati; Verrucomicrobiota
Description: Verrucomicrobia bacterium partial 16S ribosomal RNA
Rfam family: Bacterial small subunit ribosomal RNA
Source: RNAcentral